GCUGGCCCCGCCCCCUGCAUUCCUGCCCAUUCUUAUGUCACUUUAAAGUUGCUUCUGAGUCCUUGAAGUACUGUUUAUUCCACCUAGAGACUCACCUAACCCAUCCCUGUCACUGAGUUCAAACUUCUCACCAUUCCUGCCUUCAUUGGAACAGAACAGCCUCAGGGCCUCUGCUGUCCUAUCCUAGAGCAGCUGUCCCACCCCAGAUCGUCUUAUACUCCUAAAUGGAAUCUUUCUCUUACUGAUUGCUGUCCACCAUCCUUCAAAUUCUGGAGCUCUGUGAAGGGAUCAUCAUCGUCGUCGUCGUCGUCGUCGUCAUCAUCAUCAUCAUCAUCAUCAUCAUCAUCAUCAUCAUCUUGCCAAAGAAUUGCAUAACACAGAUUUCUUAACUGUGCUCUCGGGUUACCUUUUCAUCUCUAUGGCAAAUUCUAAGACCUCCAAAGACAUGUCAGGUGGGAGCCUGAGUCUUCCUUCCCCAGCCUGCCUAUAGGUCUCUAUCCGUACAUUGCUGUGACUGUACACUGGAGUUUCUAGGCUCAUGUGUUCCUGUGUGUGGACUGUGUGCAUCAUCAUGUGCCUGGGUCCCUGCUGUAGGCUGCCAGCCUGGUAGUCUUCACCCACACUGAAUAAAUAUGUUUUAUUUGUC
Long non-coding RNA from Rattus norvegicus (Norway rat), 646 nucleotides. RefSeq lists it as uncharacterized. The record is from RefSeq and is a predicted model, not a curated record. NCBI's taxonomy places the organism in Eukaryota, Metazoa, Chordata, Mammalia, Rodentia, Muridae.